RNAcentral lists this ribosomal RNA (462 nucleotides) under uncultured bacterium. Its description in RNAcentral is "bacterial SSU rRNA". It matches the Rfam family "Bacterial small subunit ribosomal RNA", at positions 8 to 469 of the family's 1533-position model. The record is from RNAcentral.
AGAGUUUGAUCCUGGCUCAGAUUGAACGCUGGCGGAAUGCUUUACACAUGCAAGUCGAACGGCAGCACGGGAGCUUGCUCCUGGUGGCGAGUGGCGAACGGGUGAGUAACAUAUCGGAACAUAUCCUAUCGUGGGGGAUAACUAGUCGAAAGACUAGCUAAUACCGCAUACGUCCUGAGGGAGAAAGCGGGGGCUCGCAAGACCUCGCGCGAUUGGAGUGGCCGAUAUCUGAUUAGCUAGAUGGUGAGGUAAAAGCUCACCAUGGCGACGAUCAGUAGCUGGUCUGAGAGGAUGAUCAGCCACACUGGGACUGAGACACGGCCCAGACUCCUACGGGAGGCAGCAGUGGGGAAUUUUGGACAAUGGGCGAAAGCCUGAUCCAGCCAUUCCGCGUGAGUGAAGAAGGCCUUCGGGUUGUAAAGCUCUUUCGGCAGGAACGAAACGGUGGGUUCUAAUACAGCC